GACGAACGCUGGCGGCGUGCUUAACACAUGCAAGUCGAACGGAAAGGCCCUGCUUUUGUGGGGUGCUCGAUUGGCGAACGGGUGAGUAACACGUGAGUAACCUGCCCUUGACUUUGGGAUAACUUCAGGAAACUGGGGCUAAUACCGGAUAUGAUCUCCUGCUGCAUGGUGGGGGUUGGAAAGAUUCGGCGGUUGGGGAUGGACUCGCGGCUUAUCAGCUUGUUUGUGGGGUAGUGGCUUACCAAGGCUUUGACGGGUAGCCGGCCUGAGAGCGUGAACGGCCACAUUAGGACUGAGAUACGGAGCAGACUGCUACCGGAGGCAGCAGUGGGGAAUUUUGCACAAUGGCCGGAAGCCUGAUGCAGAAACGCCGCGUGCGGGAUGACGGCCUACGGGUUGUAAACCGCUUUCGCCUGUGACGAAGCGUGAGUGACGGUAAUGAGUAAAGAAGCAACGGCUAACUACGUG
RNAcentral lists this ribosomal RNA (468 nucleotides) under uncultured bacterium. Its description in RNAcentral is "partial 16S ribosomal RNA". It matches the Rfam family "Bacterial small subunit ribosomal RNA", at positions 28 to 507 of the family's 1533-position model. The record is from RNAcentral.